UACAGAGGUGGCAAGCGUUGUUCGGAAUUACUGGGCGUAAAGGGCGCGUAGGCGGCUCGACAAGUCCCGCGUGAAAGCCCCCGGCUCAACUGGGGAACUGCGCGGGAAACUGUCGGACUUGAGUUCGGGAGAGGGAAGCGGAAUUCCGGGUGUAGCGGUGAAAUGCGUAGAUAUCAGGAGGAACACCUGUGGUGUAGACAGCUUACUGGACCAUUUCUGACGCUGAGACACGAAAGCGUGGGUAGCAAACAGG
RNAcentral lists this ribosomal RNA (253 nucleotides) under uncultured bacterium. RNAcentral describes it as "partial 16S ribosomal RNA". It matches the Rfam family "Bacterial small subunit ribosomal RNA", at positions 524 to 776 of the family's 1533-position model. The record is from RNAcentral.